AGCGGAGGCGCGGACUUUUCUUUUGGGGGGUCUCGCCGGCUCGCCGCGCUCCCCACCUUGCCUGCGCCCGCCCGGAGCCAGCGGUUCUCCAAGCACCCAGCAUCCUGCGAGACGCGCCGCGCACCGACGGAGGGAACAUGGGCAGAGCAAUGGUGGCCAGGCUCGGGCUGGGGCUGCUGCUGCUGGCACUGCUCCUACCCACGCAGUCCGCUGCGCUCCCGAGCCUUCCUCAAUUCUUUGAUGGGGGAGGGGCGCGG
This 257-nucleotide small RNA is filed under the name Pongo abelii (Sumatran orangutan). RNAcentral's name for it is "processed transcript". Lineage: Eukaryota; Metazoa; Chordata; Mammalia; Primates; Hominidae. The record is from RNAcentral.